GAUGAACGCUAGCUACAGGCUUAACACAUGCAAGUCGAGGGGAAACGGCAUUUAGUGCUUGCACUGAAUGGACGUCGACCGGCGCACGGGUGAGUAACGCGUAUCCAACCUUCCCAUUACUGUGGGAUAACCUGCCGAAAGGCAGACUAAUACCGCAUAGUCUUCGAUGACGGCAUCAGAUUUGAAGUAAAGAUUAAUCGGUAAUGGAUGGGGAUGCGUCUGAUUAGCUUGUUGGCGGGGUAACGGCCCACCAAGGCAACGAUCAGUAGGGGUUCUGAGAGGAAGGUCCCCCACAUUGGAACUGAGACACGGUCCAAACUCCUACGGGAGGCAGCAGUGAGGAAUAUUGGUCAAUGGACGAGAGUCUGAACCAGCCAAGUAGCGUGCAGGAUGACGGCCCUAUGGGUUGUAAACUGCUUUUGUAUGGGGAUAAAGUCAAUCACGUGUGAUUGUUUGCAGGUACCAUACGAAUAAGGACCGGCUAAUUCCGUGCCAGCAGCCGCGGUAAUACGGAAGGUCCGGGCGUUAUCCGGAUUUAUUGGGUUUAAAGGGAGCGUAGGCCGGAGAUUAAGUGUGUUGUGAAAUGUAGACGCUCAACGUCUGACUUGCAGCGCAUACUGGUUUCCUUGAGUACGCACAACGUUGGCGGAAUUCGUCGUGUAGCGGUGAAAUGCUUAGAUAUGACGAAGAACUCCGAUUGCGAAGGCAGCUGACGGGAGCGCAACUGACGCUUAAGCUCGAAGGUGCGGGUAUCGAACAGG
This 761-nucleotide ribosomal RNA is filed under the name Prevotella melaninogenica. RNAcentral describes it as "bacterial SSU rRNA". It matches the Rfam family "Bacterial small subunit ribosomal RNA", at positions 28 to 776 of the family's 1533-position model. The record is from RNAcentral. Lineage: Bacteria; Pseudomonadati; Bacteroidota; Bacteroidia; Bacteroidales; Prevotellaceae.